Molecule: ribosomal RNA, 1439 nt
Filed under: uncultured bacterium
Lineage: Bacteria
Description: bacterial SSU rRNA
Rfam family: Bacterial small subunit ribosomal RNA
Source: RNAcentral
AGGGUUUGAUCAUGGCUCAGAACGUACGCUGGCGGCACGCCUAACACAUGCAAGUCGAACGAAGUAGCAAUACUUAGUGGCAGACGGGUGAGUAACAUGUAGGUAUCUGCCCUUUGGCCUGGAAUAACACGAGGAAACUUGUGCUAAUACCGGAUAAGUCUUUACGGAGAAAGCUUUAUGCACCAUUGGAUGAGCCUGCACUUGAUUAGUUUGUUGGUGGGGUAAUGGCCUACCAAGACUGUGAUCAAUAGCUGAUUUGAGAGGAUGAUCAGCCACAUUGGGACUGAGACACGGCCCAAACUCCUACGGGAGGCAGCAGUGGGGAAUCUUGCACAAUGGAGGAAACUCUGAUGCAGCGAUGCCGCGUGAGUGAAGAAGGCCCUUGGGUUGUAAAGCUCUUUCGUCGGGGAAGAAAAUGACUGUACCCGAAUAAGAAGGUCCGGCUAACUUCGUGCCAGCAGCCGCGGUAAUACGAAGGGACCUAGCGUAGUUCGGAAUUACUGGGCUUAAAGAGUUCGUAGGUGGUUGAAAAAGUUGGUGGUGAAAUCCCAGAGCUUAACUCUGGAACUGCCAUCAAAACUUUUCAGCUAGAGUAUGAUAGAGGAAAGCAGAAUUUCUAGUGUAGAGGUGAAAUUCGUAGAUAUUAGAAAGAAUACCAAUUGCGAAGGCAGCUUUCUGGAUCAUUACUGACACUGAGGAACGAAAGCAUGGGUAGCGAAGAGGAUUAGAUACCCUCGUAGUCCAUGCCGUAAACGAUGUGUGUUAGACGUUGGAAAUUUAUUUUCAGUGUCGCAGCGAAAGCGAUAAACACACCGCCUGGGGAGUACGACCGCAAGGUUAAAACUCAAAUGAAUUGACGGGGACCCGCACAAGUAGUGGAGCAUGUGGUUUAAUUCGAAGAUACGCGCAGAACCUUACCAACACUUGACAUGUUCGUCGCGACUCUAAGAGAUUAGAGUUUUCGGUUCGGCCGGACGAAACACAGGUGCUGCAUGGCUGUCGUCAGCUCGUGUCGUGAGAUGUUGGGUUAAGUCCCGCAACGAGCGCAACCCUCACUUUUAGUUGCCAUCAUUAAGUUGGGCACUCUGAAAGAACUGCCAGUGAUAAGCUGGAGGAAGGUGGGGAUGACGUCAAGUCCUCAUGGCCCUUACGUGUUGGGCUACACACGUGCUACAAUGGUAUCUACAACAGGAAGCAAGACUGCGAAGUUAAGCAAAUCCUUAAAAGAUACCUCAGUUCGGAUUGCACUCUGCAACUCGAGUGCAUGAAGCUGGAAUUACUAGUAAUCGUGGAUCAGCGUGCCACGGUGAAUGCGUUCCCGGGUCUUGUACACACCGCCCGUCACACCAUGGGAGUUGGUUCUACCUUAAGGCAAGGUUUCAAACCCUUGACCACGGUAUAGUCAGCGACUGGGGUGAAGUCGUAACAAGGUAACCGUA